CACGUUACCUUCAGGUCUAAAACGAUGACAAUCUAAAUGUUAGAAACAACAGUAUAAUAAAUGUGUUCCUGGUUUGGUUUGACUUCAUGUUACUUUUUGUUUUCCUUAAGUGUUGCAUCCCAUUUAGUAUUUUUGAUAUCAUCCCUUUACAUUUUUAAACAGCGUAGCAUUCCCUCUGUCUACUUGCAGAGAAGUUUAGGGGUUAAAACUCCACCAACCAUCACUGGGUGCAUUGAGGAGAUAAAAGAGACACCUGUGAUCUGUUUAAUCAGAUGGAAUAUUUAUAUGAUCUAUUUACACACUGAGGGCAUAUUGUGUAUUUCGUUUGUAGCAUCAUCUUAAACUUCUUUCAAGAAUUCUGAUGCUCCGUUAAGGAGGAUUUCUUUGAUGAGGGACGGUGGACCUUAAUAAAACUCACUGCCAGUAAAGACACGAGGAAAUGUACUGUGGAACAAACAUCAAGUCUGUUAUGAGAAGUGUUGGACUAGUUGCUGCUGUUGUACCAUAAAUGACUCGUUCCUUUAAUGUCAGAAUAAAACCAAACGUGACGCUUGUCUGUCAGAAGACUCGUCUUCUUCUUCUCUGGUUUUGACGAGUCUUUUUACACGUCCUCGUUGGCUCAAUCGGUUCUAGUUAUUGAAGGUGGUGAUGAUGAUGAUGAUGAUGAAGGUGGUGGUGGUGAGGAUGAUGAAGGUGAUGGUGGUGAGGAUGAUGAUGAAGGUGUUGGUGGUGAGGAUGAUGAUGAAGGUGUUGGUGGUGAGGAUGAUGAGGGUGGUGUUGGUGAGGAUGAUGAUGAAGGUGUUGGUGGUGAGGAUGAUGAAGGUGGUGACGAUGA
This is a long non-coding RNA of Gasterosteus aculeatus aculeatus (three-spined stickleback), 835 nucleotides long. NCBI's taxonomy places the organism in Eukaryota, Metazoa, Chordata, Actinopteri, Perciformes, Gasterosteidae. The record is from Ensembl.